RNAcentral lists this ribosomal RNA (253 nucleotides) under uncultured bacterium. RNAcentral's name for it is "partial 16S ribosomal RNA". It matches the Rfam family "Bacterial small subunit ribosomal RNA", at positions 524 to 776 of the family's 1533-position model. The record is from RNAcentral.
UACGGAGGAUCCGAGCGUUAUCCGGAUUUAUUGGGUUUAAAGGGAGCGUAGGCGGGUUGUUAAGUCAGUUGUGAAAGUUUGCGGCUCAACCGUAAAAUUGCAGUUGAUACUGGCAUCCUUGAGUACAGUAGAGGUAGGCGGAAUUCGUGGUGUAGCGGUGAAAUGCUUAGAUAUCACGAAGAACUCCGAUCGCGAAGGCAGCCUGCUGGACUGUAACUGACGCUGAUGCUCGAAAGUGUGGGUAUCAAACAGG